GAUGAACGCUGGCGGCGUGCUUAACACAUGCAAGUCGAACGAGAAGUGAAGACGGAAACCUUCGGGCGGAAGGCUUUAUUUCGAGUGGCGGACGGGUGAGUAACGCGUGGGUAACCUGCCUCAUACAGGGGGAUAACAGUUGGAAACGACUGUUAAUACCGCAUAAGACCACAGCACUGCAUGGUGCGGGGGUAAAAACUCCGGUGGUAUGAGAUGGACCCGCGUUCGAUUAGCCAGUUGGCGGGGUAACGGCCCACCAAAGCGACGAUCGAUAGCCGAUCUGAGAGGAUGACCGGCCACAUUGGGACUGAGACACGGCCCAAACUCCUACGGGAGGCAGCAGUGGGGAAUAUUGCACAAUGGGGGAAACCCUGAUGCAGCGACGCCGCGUGAGUGAAGAAGUAUUUCGGUAUGUAAAGCUCUAUCAGCAGGGAAGAAAAUGACGGUACCUGAGUAAGAAGCCCCGGCUAACUACGUG
RNAcentral lists this ribosomal RNA (478 nucleotides) under uncultured bacterium. Its description in RNAcentral is "partial 16S ribosomal RNA". It matches the Rfam family "Bacterial small subunit ribosomal RNA", at positions 28 to 507 of the family's 1533-position model. The record is from RNAcentral.